Molecule: ribosomal RNA, 486 nt
Filed under: uncultured bacterium
Lineage: Bacteria
Description: partial 16S ribosomal RNA
Rfam family: Bacterial small subunit ribosomal RNA
Source: RNAcentral
AUUGAACGCUGGCGGCAUGCCUUACACAUGCAAGUCGAACGGCAGCACGGGUGCUUGCACCUGGUGGCGAGUGGCGAACGGGUGAGUAAUACAUCGGAACAUGUCCUGUAGAGGGGGAUAGCCCGGCGAAAGCCGGAUUAAUACCGCAUACGAUCUACGGAUGAAAGCGGGGGACCUUCGGGCCUCGCGCUAUAGGGUUGGCCGAUGGCUGAUUAGCUAGUUGGUGGGGUAAAGGCCUACCAAGACGACGAUCAGUAGCUGGUCUGAGAGGACGACCAGCCACACUGGGACUGAGACACGGCCCAGACUCCUACGGGAGGCAGCAGUGGGGAAUUUUGGACAAUGGGCGAAAGCCUGAUCCAGCAAUGCCGCGUGUGUGAAGAAGGCCUUCGGGUUGUAAAGCACUUUUGUCCGGAAAGAAAUCCUUGGCCCUAAUACGGUCGGGGGAUGACGGUACCGGAAGAAUAAGCACCGGCUAACUACGUG